RNAcentral lists this ribosomal RNA (660 nucleotides) under uncultured bacterium. RNAcentral describes it as "bacterial SSU rRNA". It matches the Rfam family "Bacterial small subunit ribosomal RNA", at positions 48 to 705 of the family's 1533-position model. The record is from RNAcentral.
CUAAUACAUGCAAGUCGAACGAUACCAGAGAGCUUGCUUUCUGGGAAAGUGGCGCACGGGUGCGUAACGCGUAUGCAACCUACCUUAAUCAGGGGGAUAGCCUCUCGAAAGAGAGAUUAACACCGCAUAAAAUCACAGUCCGGCAUCGGACAAUGAUCAAAUAUUUAUAGGAUUAAGAUGGGCAUGCGUGACAUUAGCUAGUUGGUAAGGUAACGGCUUACCAAGGCUACGAUGUCUAGGGGAUCUGAGAGGAUGACCCCCCACACUGGUACUGAGACACGGACCAAACUCCUACGGGAGGCAGCAGUAAGGAAUAUUGGUCAAUGGGGGCAACCCUGAACCAGCCAUGCCGCGUGCAGGAAGACGGCCCUACGGGUUGUAAACUGCUUUUAUACGGGAAUAAACCCCUUUACGUGUAAAGGGUUGAAUGUACUGUAAGAAUAAGGAUCGGCUAACUCCGUGCCAGCAGCCGCGGUAAUACGGAGGAUCCAAGCGUUAUCCGGAUUUAUUGGGUUUAAAGGGUGCGUAGGCGGCCUAUUAAGUCAGGGGUGAAAGACGGUGGCUCAACCAUCGCAGUGCCCUUGAUACUGAUGGGCUUGAUUACACUUGAGGUAGGCGGAAUGUGACAAGUAGCGGUGAAAUGCAUAGAUAUGUCACAGA